GCGCCGAUAGCUCAGCGGUAGAGCACCGACCUUAUAAGUCGGGGGUCGCUGGUUCGAAUCCAGCUCGGCGCACGA
Molecule: transfer RNA, 75 nt
Filed under: Candidatus Wolfebacteria bacterium
Lineage: Bacteria; Candidatus Wolfeibacteriota
Description: tRNA-Ile
Rfam family: tRNA
About the family: Transfer RNA (tRNA) molecules are approximately 80 nucleotides in length. Their secondary structure includes four short double-helical elements and three loops (D, anti-codon, and T loops). Further hydrogen bonds mediate the characteristic L-shaped molecular structure. tRNAs have two regions of fundamental functional importance: the anti-codon, which is responsible for specific mRNA codon recognition, and the 3' end, to which the tRNAs corresponding amino acid is attached (by aminoacyl-tRNA synthetases). tRNAs cope with the degeneracy of the genetic code in two manners: having more than one tRNA (with a specific anti-codon) for a particular amino acid; and 'wobble' base-pairing, i.e. permitting non-standard base-pairing at the 3rd anti-codon position.
Source: RNAcentral